UACGGGGGGGGCGAGCGUUGUCCGAAGUUACUGGGCGUAAAGCGCGUGUAGGCGGGUUGCUAAGUCCGCUGUGAAAGCCCGGUGCUCAACGCCGGAGGGUCGGUGGAUACUGGCAGUCUUGAAGUGGCUAGGGGGAAAUGGAAUUACCGGUGUAGCGGUGAAAUGCGUAGAUAUCGGUAGGAACACCAGUGGCGAAGGCGGUUUCCUGGAGCUAACUUGACGCUGAGACGCGAAAGCUGGGGGAGCAAACGGG
RNAcentral lists this ribosomal RNA (253 nucleotides) under uncultured bacterium. RNAcentral's name for it is "partial 16S ribosomal RNA". It matches the Rfam family "Bacterial small subunit ribosomal RNA", at positions 524 to 776 of the family's 1533-position model. The record is from RNAcentral.